This 164-nucleotide ribosomal RNA is filed under the name Saxifraga oppositifolia. RNAcentral describes it as "5.8S ribosomal RNA". It matches the Rfam family "5.8S ribosomal RNA". From Rfam's summary of the family: 5.8S ribosomal RNA (5.8S rRNA) is a component of the large subunit of the eukaryotic ribosome. It is transcribed by RNA polymerase I as part of the 45S precursor that also contains 18S and 28S rRNA. The record is from RNAcentral. Lineage: Eukaryota; Viridiplantae; Streptophyta; Magnoliopsida; Saxifragales; Saxifragaceae. RNAcentral also lists the same sequence under 4 other names.
UAAUGACUCUCGGCAACGGAUAUCUCGGCUCUUACAUCGAUGAAGAACGUAGCAAAAUGCGAUACUUGGUGUGAAUUGCAGAAUCCCGUGAACCAUCGAGUCUUUGAACGCAAGUUGCGCCCGAAUCCAUCUGGUUGAGGGCACGUCUGCCUGGGUGUCACGUA